UGGCAAACGUUUGAUGUUAUGAUGUGGACAAUCUAUGACGUGUGCUUUGCUCGACAUUGAUAUCAUCAGUUGGAAGCCGAUCACCUAAAAUCAGCUAUCGGAUGAGGUCUACAUCAUCAGUGCUCUGCCGAUCUCACCUCAUUUCCGCUCUGAUCCUCCAUAAGCUAUCCUAUAAUUCGGACGCUACAAGAAGCUGUUAGCAUGCAAAUUCUGUUGAGUUGGCAUUUUGUUGUAAUGGCCUACAUAGGCAGUUGGCCUUGUAACUA
Molecule: long non-coding RNA, 266 nt
Filed under: Elaeis guineensis (African oil palm)
Lineage: Eukaryota; Viridiplantae; Streptophyta; Magnoliopsida; Arecales; Arecaceae
Description: long non-coding RNA (EGUI_LNC031504)
Source: RNAcentral